RNAcentral lists this ribosomal RNA (359 nucleotides) under uncultured Thermovirga sp. RNAcentral describes it as "bacterial SSU rRNA". It matches the Rfam family "Bacterial small subunit ribosomal RNA", at positions 1022 to 1382 of the family's 1533-position model. Lineage: Bacteria; Thermotogati; Synergistota; Synergistia; Synergistales; Thermovirgaceae. The record is from RNAcentral.
GUGAGAGCGUACACAGUGCUGCAUGGCUGUCGCCAGCUCGUGUCGUGAGAUGUUGGGUUAAGUCCCGCAACGAGCGCAACCCUGCAUUCAGUUGCCAUCGGUAAGCCGGGCACUCUGGAUGGACUGCCGGCGACAAGCCGGAGGAAGGUGGGGACGACGUCAAGUCAUCAUGGCCCUUAUGUCCAGGGCGACACACGUGCUACAAUGGCCGGCACAACGGGAAGCGAAGGGGCGACCCUGAGCGGAUCCCACAAAAGCCGGUCUCAGUUCGGAUUGCAGUCUGCAACUCGACUGCAUGAAGUUGGAAUCGCUAGUAAUCGUGGAUCAGCCAAGCCGCGGUGAAUACGUUCCCGGGCCUU